This 253-nucleotide ribosomal RNA is filed under the name uncultured bacterium. RNAcentral's name for it is "partial 16S ribosomal RNA". It matches the Rfam family "Bacterial small subunit ribosomal RNA", at positions 524 to 776 of the family's 1533-position model. The record is from RNAcentral.
UACGAAGGGUGCAAGCGUUAAUCGGAAUUACUGGGCGUAAAGCGUGCGCAGGCGGUUUUGUAAGACCGAUGUGAAAUCCCCGGGCUUAACCUGGGAACUGCAUUGGUGACUGCAAGGCUUGAGUGUGUCAGAGGGAGGUGGAAUUCCGCGUGUAGCAGUGAAAUGCGUAGAUAUGCGGAGGAACACCGAUGGCGAAGGCAGCCUCCUGGGAUAACACUGACGCUCAUGCACGAAAGCCAGGGGAGCAAACGGG